Molecule: transfer RNA, 72 nt
Filed under: Canis lupus familiaris (dog)
Lineage: Eukaryota; Metazoa; Chordata; Mammalia; Carnivora; Canidae
Also listed under: 1 other name
Rfam family: tRNA
About the family: Transfer RNA (tRNA) molecules are approximately 80 nucleotides in length. Their secondary structure includes four short double-helical elements and three loops (D, anti-codon, and T loops).
Source: Rfam by way of RNAcentral
ACCAAUCUGACUCAGUUGGUAGAGCAUGAGACUCUUAAUCUCAGGGUUGUGAGUUUAAGCCCAUGUUGGGCA